RNAcentral lists this ribosomal RNA (233 nucleotides) under Apiotrichum laibachii. RNAcentral's name for it is "partial large subunit ribosomal RNA". The record is from RNAcentral. Lineage: Eukaryota; Fungi; Basidiomycota; Tremellomycetes; Trichosporonales; Trichosporonaceae.
AAACGAUUGAAGUCAGUCGUGUUUAUUGGAUUCAGCCGGUCUUCGGUGUACUUCCUUUAAACGGGUCAACAUCAGUUUUGUCCGGUGGAUAAAGGCAGUAGGAAUGUGGCUCCCUCGGGAGUGUUAUAGCCUAUUGUCACAUACACUGGAGGAGACUGAGGACUGCAGCUCGCCUUUUGGCCGGGGUUCGCCCACGUUCGAGCUUAGGAUGUUGACAUAAUGGCUUUAAUCGA